CUCUUACCUCAGUUUCGUUCGUUUUUCAACCCCCUCAGUUUUUGCAUUUAUUAUUAACGGUACUAAUUUCUAGGGCUUUACAUUUCUUAACUGAAAUUUUAGGUUUUUUUUUUGUGGUUGUAUAAAUAACGCAGUGCUUCACUUUUGAUGGAGCAAAGACGACUUUGUUUUCAAUUGUCAGUUGAUCAGUUGAUGGAGCAAGUUCUCGCUAUCAAUGAGGAUAUAGAGCAUCAAGGUUUAUGUGCAUGUGAAGAAACAAACAAGCCAGAAGAUGAUGGAAGGAAAAUGGUGUUGCAGAGCGUAAAUUAGAAAAACGAACUUUAUUCUACAUACGAAAGUUCCUAUAGAAUUUUGGAGCUGGUCAUCCUACAAACUAUAUACCUUCUUCUACAUUUAUUGUUCAGCGCUCGGAGGUUAAGGGUGAGAGAAUCUACCUAUCUAUCAAGGCUUACGGAAUGAUAUCAGGUCCUAAUGGGAAAAUUAUGAAACCUGAAAUUUCAACUUCAACAGAGAACUUUUACUACGAAAGGUUGGACAAUGUUACAUGCACCAUUAUCAUGGUCCACGUGCCAGCAUACAGUGCUAUAUGGUGAACUAGACAUCUAGGUCCCAUGCAUUUUCCUCUCUUACAAUUUUAUAACUAUUUUUUUAAUAGCUUACAUGUGUAUUAUCUUGAGCAAGAUCGUUGUGUUUGUUCCAUUGUUAUAAUUUAGAACAUAAUUAUGAUGCUUUGCAUCUUGCGUUGCUUUCAGAGAUCCUACCAUCCCACUUGCAAGCAUUUCACCCUCUGAUAUUGCAUUUUCAUUGACGCGAUAUCUUAAAGAUCCAUAUAUGAUGGGUGUCCAUUGAUGAGGAUGAAGGUGACGACACAUGAUAAUUGUUUCUGUAUUACAACCUGUACAUUCUGGUGUGCAGGUGCUAAUGAUGGGUUUUUUUCUUCGAUCCACUUUUUCAAAUUCAUGAAUGGCUAUAGCCUAUAAACCUCCUAUCAACUUUUACCAAAAAUUCACUAUGGGAUGCAUGCGAAGACUCGAGUUUUGGGAAAUUUUUCCCAGGAUCUUAUGCUAGCAAAGGCUCUAUAUUUUAUCUCUAUUUACAAUUUUUGGUAUGUGAUUCGUGUUGUUUCUGAAAGUCUCUAACACAUGGCAUUGAAGUGUAUUACAUCUAUAAUUGGAGGUAGCAAAAUGUAGUUAAAUUUCUUGUUGUAUAUGAAAGUAAUGUUAAAAGAUGGAAGAAUGC
This is a long non-coding RNA of Asparagus officinalis (garden asparagus), 1239 nucleotides long. RefSeq lists it as uncharacterized. The transcript has 6 exons. NCBI's taxonomy places the organism in Eukaryota, Viridiplantae, Streptophyta, Magnoliopsida, Asparagales, Asparagaceae. The record is from RefSeq and is a predicted model, not a curated record.